CCUACGGGAGGCAGCAGUGAGGAAUAUUGGUCAAUGGGCGGGAGCCUGAACCAGCCAAGUCGCGUGAGGGAAGAAGGCGCCAGGCGUCGUAAACCUCUUUUGUCAGGGAACAAAGGGCGCCUCGCGUGCCGUUGUGAGUGUACCCGAAGAAAAAGCAUCGGCUAACUCCGUGCCAGCAGCCGCGGUAAUCCGGAGGAUGCGAGCGUUAUCCGGAUUUAUUGGGUUUAAAGGGUGCGUAGGCGGACCGGAAAGUCAGCGGUAAAAGCGCGGGGCUCAACCCCGGCGCGCCGUUGAAACUGUCGGACUAGAGACAGCGAGGAGUACGCGGAAUGCGCGGUGUAGCGGUGAAAUGCAUAGAUAUCGCGCAGAACUCCGAUCGCGAAGGCAGCGUACCGGCGCCGAACUGACGCUGAUGCACGAAAGCGUGGGUAUCGAACAGGAUUAGAUACCCGAGUAGUC
This 459-nucleotide ribosomal RNA is filed under the name uncultured bacterium. RNAcentral's name for it is "partial 16S ribosomal RNA". It matches the Rfam family "Bacterial small subunit ribosomal RNA", at positions 338 to 795 of the family's 1533-position model. The record is from RNAcentral.